GUCGGGAAUUUUGCCCAAUGGACGAAAGUCUGAGGCAGCAACUCCGCGUGAGGGAUGAAGGCUCUCGGGUCGUAAACCUCUUUUCUCAGGGAAGAUCCAAGACGGUACCUGAGGAAUAAGCGACGGCUAACUACGUGCCAGCAGCCGCGGUAAUACGUAGGUCGCAAGCGUUGUCCGGAUUUACUGGGCGUAAAGAGCGCGCAGGCGGCUGGUCAAGUCCGAUGUGAAAUCUCCCGGCUCAACUGGGAAACUGCAUCGGAAACUGAUCGGCCUGAAGGUGGGAGAGAGUAGUGGAAUUCCCGGUGUAGUGGUGAAAUGCGUAGAUAUCGGGAGGAACACCAGUGGCGAAGGCGACUACUUGGCCCAUUCUUGACGCUGAGGCGCGAAAGCUAGGGGAGCGAA
Molecule: ribosomal RNA, 402 nt
Filed under: uncultured bacterium
Lineage: Bacteria
Description: bacterial SSU rRNA
Rfam family: Bacterial small subunit ribosomal RNA
Source: RNAcentral